Molecule: long non-coding RNA, 261 nt
Organism: Anguilla rostrata (American eel)
Lineage: Eukaryota; Metazoa; Chordata; Actinopteri; Anguilliformes; Anguillidae
Exons: 2
Source: RefSeq, a predicted model, not a curated record
GGAAUUGUUCCUUAUGAGUGCAUGCAUGUGUCGGGAGUCAGGAGCAGCCCUGCGCUGCCUCCCGCCACCUAACAAUAUUUUAUUUUUUUUCCAGGAACCCACCCACCACCAGGAGAUCAGGACAAGGCAGCACUCUCCCACUCUGGCCCUCCCCUUCCCUUCCACGGAGCCCCGACGCAGGUAGGAGCGACACCCCUUACACGCCACACACUUUUAAGCCGCUGGGGUUCCCCUCACACGUGCCCACACUCAGCCGAAAAA